RNAcentral lists this ribosomal RNA (467 nucleotides) under uncultured bacterium. Its description in RNAcentral is "bacterial SSU rRNA". It matches the Rfam family "Bacterial small subunit ribosomal RNA", at positions 355 to 825 of the family's 1533-position model. The record is from RNAcentral.
UGGGGAAUUUUGGACAAUGGGCGCAAGCCUGAUCCAGCCAUGCCGCGUGCAGGAAGAAGGCGUUAUGCGUUGUAAACUGCUUUUUGCCAGGGGAUAAAAAGACCGUGCGCGGUUAAUUGAAGGUACCUGGUGAAUAAGCCACGGCUAACUACGUGCCAGCAGCCGCGGUAAUACGUAGGUGGCAAGCGUUGUCCGGAUUUAUUGGGUUUAAAGGGUGCGUAGGUGGCCCUGUAAGUCAGUGGUGAAAUAUCUCAGCUUAACUGAGAGGGUGCCAUUGAUACUGCAGGGCUUGAGUACAGAUGAGGUAGGCGGAAUUGACGGUGUAGCGGUGAAAUGCUUAGAUAUCGUCAAGAACACCGAUAGCGAAGGCAGCUUACUAGACUGUAACUGACGCUGAGGCACGAAAGUGUGGGGAUCAAACAGGAUUAGAUACCCUCGUAGUCCCUGAGCGGGCUGGCAAGGCGCAU